Molecule: small nuclear RNA, 107 nt
Organism: Erinaceus europaeus (western European hedgehog)
Lineage: Eukaryota; Metazoa; Chordata; Mammalia; Eulipotyphla; Erinaceidae
Source: Ensembl
GUGCUUGCUUCGGCAGCACAUAUACUAAAAUUGGAAUGAUACAGAGAAUAUUAGCAUGCCCCCCACGCAAGGAUGACACGCAAAUUUGUGAAGUGUUCCAUAUUUUU